UUGAUGGUUCAGUGGUAGAAUUCUUAUCUUCCAUGUGGGAGACCCAAGUUCUAUUCCUGGUCAA
Molecule: transfer RNA, 64 nt
Filed under: Loxodonta africana (African savanna elephant)
Lineage: Eukaryota; Metazoa; Chordata; Mammalia; Proboscidea; Elephantidae
Rfam family: tRNA
About the family: Transfer RNA (tRNA) molecules are approximately 80 nucleotides in length. Their secondary structure includes four short double-helical elements and three loops (D, anti-codon, and T loops).
Source: Rfam by way of RNAcentral